AGCGAACGCUGGCGGCGUGCUUAACACAUGCAAGUCGAGUGCGCGGUUCGUAGCAAUACGAACUGGCGCACGGCGCACGGGUGAGGAACACGUGGGCAACAUGCCCUCCGAUGGGGAAUAACCCGCCGAAAGGCGGGCUAAUACCGCAUACGAUUCCGGGGACCUCGGUUCCUGGACUGAAAGCCCGCAAGGGCGUCGGUGGAGUGGCCCGCGGCCGAUUAGCUUGUGGCGGGGUAACGCCACCAGGCAAUGAUCGGUAGCCGGUCUGAGAGGAUGAUCGGCCACACUGGAACUGAGACACGGUCCAGACUCCUACGGGAGGCAGCA
This 327-nucleotide ribosomal RNA is filed under the name uncultured bacterium. Its description in RNAcentral is "bacterial SSU rRNA". It matches the Rfam family "Bacterial small subunit ribosomal RNA", at positions 28 to 353 of the family's 1533-position model. The record is from RNAcentral.